Molecule: long non-coding RNA, 411 nt
Organism: Alligator sinensis (Chinese alligator)
Lineage: Eukaryota; Metazoa; Chordata; Crocodylia; Alligatoridae
Exons: 3
Source: RefSeq, a predicted model, not a curated record
UGUGUGCGCGCCCGCCCGCCCGCCGGAUCGGUUUCUCGGGGUUUGACCAGCUGUCCCAGGCUAACCCUGCUCUCUGAAGAUGGAGGAAGUAAAAACAGGAUUACCCUUAGCUACAGAUCCACUGCCUUAGUUUCCAUAACCAACUGCAGUGCACAAACACACAGUCCUUGGGCAAGAGAGAGAGAGAGGCAGAGGCGACCCCAAUAAAAACACAAACAAAAGGGUGAUGGAAGUGAUUCACUGCAUGCACUGCUGAGCACUGCACUUUGACUAUGGAAGCAGAGGCUACUGAUGGAUAUAUAACAUGUGACAAUGAGCUUUCCCCUGAAAGAGAGCACUCCCACAUGGCUAUUGACCUCACUUCAAGCACACCCAAUGGGCAGCAUACCUCACCGAGUCACAUGACAAGCA